Molecule: transfer RNA, 97 nt
Filed under: Candidatus Bathyarchaeota archaeon
Lineage: Archaea; Thermoproteati; Candidatus Bathyarchaeota
Description: tRNA-Ala
Rfam family: tRNA
About the family: Transfer RNA (tRNA) molecules are approximately 80 nucleotides in length. Their secondary structure includes four short double-helical elements and three loops (D, anti-codon, and T loops). Further hydrogen bonds mediate the characteristic L-shaped molecular structure. tRNAs have two regions of fundamental functional importance: the anti-codon, which is responsible for specific mRNA codon recognition, and the 3' end, to which the tRNAs corresponding amino acid is attached (by aminoacyl-tRNA synthetases). tRNAs cope with the degeneracy of the genetic code in two manners: having more than one tRNA (with a specific anti-codon) for a particular amino acid; and 'wobble' base-pairing, i.e. permitting non-standard base-pairing at the 3rd anti-codon position.
Source: RNAcentral
GGGCCGGUAGUUCAGCUUGGUAUGCUUCAUCCGGAGGCCAAUGAACGUCCGGUUUGCAACCGGAAGGUCGCGGGUUCAAAUCCCGCCCGGUCCACCA